GCUAGGUAGCUCCUUUCUUUUUGUCACCAAAGGUGAUGCUGCAUUAUAUGCACGUAGUUUGUUCAUCCAGGCUACCUGUUGAAGGACAUCUUGUUUGAUCCCAGUCUUUGAGAAUCAUGAAGGGAGCUGCGGUACAAUUUUGUGUGGACAGAAAGAAGUUUUCUCCUCAUCGAGGAAAGUGUGCAAAUCUGGCCAUUGUGACUAAUCCUCUUCAGCUGCGCCUCCAGCCACAGCUUCCGUGUUCUCCUCCUCUGCCUUUACUUCCUCAGGGCCCAGCCCUGUCUGACUGCGUACAAUAUUUCUACCUAACUUAGCUGUCUACAUCCAGGGGAGCCCACCAGCUGUUACAAAGGUGAAUAAAGAAAC
RNAcentral lists this long non-coding RNA (366 nucleotides) under Heterocephalus glaber (naked mole-rat). RNAcentral's name for it is "lncRNA (ENSHGLG00000039672.1)". The record is from RNAcentral. Lineage: Eukaryota; Metazoa; Chordata; Mammalia; Rodentia; Bathyergidae.